CCCCACGCCCCUCCCCACGCCCACCACGCUCUGCGCUCCUUCACGGCCCUCCCCGUCCUCCUUCAUGACCCUCCUCUUCCUCCUGGCGUCCUCCACACUCUGACCCUGCAGCCAUGCUGCCGGGCUAAAGCGGGUUUAAUUAAUGGCGCCUGAGGCCGGCUCCUGAGGGCUCCUGAGGCAGCUUGAAACCCAGCAAAAGCUCCCUGGCUGAUAAAAGUUCAGUGGCUAAACUGGAAAUACUGGGACCCGGGUAGGUAGAACUUGCAUUUUCAAAGCCACCUUUCCUCCAUCCCCUCCAUCUGGUCGGGCUGCUGGAACCCUCACAGUGGAGAACUCCCGGCUGAGGGGUCUACACUUUGGUCAUGCCUCAUAGAAGAACAGCCCCAGCCAUAGUAUUAACAGGAGGAAACAUCACAGCAGACAGCUCUAAUUCCUGGACUAUAGACAGGAAACGCAGAAGCCCGGAAAUGUCUAGCAGAGGUGCGUGAGGAAGAACUCUGUUGGUGGCCUCAGAGAAAGAGACCUGGGAAUGGAGGUGCCAGGGCUAAGAAUGCAAAUAUGGGAAGUGCUGCAUGUUCAUGAAGCACUGUGUUGAGUGCUCCCCUAGCACUUUGCUGAGUGCUCCACAGGUGGGAUGACUACCGCAGCAUGGCUUUUGCAGAUCGGUGCCAUGUCCACACCCGGGUUCCAAACCAGUGAACCCCAGGCUGCCAAGAAGCGGAACAUGUGAACUUAACCACUGCACCACCCAGCGGGCCCCCCUAACCACUUUCUCUGUGCUUUAUUUUCACUCCUGCCUUGACCGGUGCUGUCCAAUAGUAGCAUUAACACUCUAUAACAUGAAAUCAAAACUUUCUAGUGGCACGUUUAAGAAAAUAAAAACAAACAGCUGAACC
RNAcentral lists this long non-coding RNA (896 nucleotides) under Equus caballus (horse). RNAcentral's name for it is "lncRNA (ENSECAG00000046177.1)". Lineage: Eukaryota; Metazoa; Chordata; Mammalia; Perissodactyla; Equidae. The record is from RNAcentral.